GGAUUCGUAGCUCAGUGGUAGAGCGAGAGAUUGCAGAUCUCUAGGUCACGUGUUCGAACCACGUCGGAUCCU
This 72-nucleotide transfer RNA is filed under the name Cladophialophora carrionii CBS 160.54. RNAcentral describes it as "tRNA-Cys (GCA) (tRNA-Cys-GCA-1-1)". It matches the Rfam family "tRNA". From Rfam's summary of the family: Transfer RNA (tRNA) molecules are approximately 80 nucleotides in length. Their secondary structure includes four short double-helical elements and three loops (D, anti-codon, and T loops). The record is from RNAcentral. Lineage: Eukaryota; Fungi; Ascomycota; Eurotiomycetes; Chaetothyriales; Herpotrichiellaceae.